This 253-nucleotide ribosomal RNA is filed under the name uncultured bacterium. Its description in RNAcentral is "partial 16S ribosomal RNA". It matches the Rfam family "Bacterial small subunit ribosomal RNA", at positions 524 to 776 of the family's 1533-position model. The record is from RNAcentral.
UACAGAGGUCUCAACCGUUGUUCGGAUUCAUUGGGCGUAAAGGGUGCGUAGGCGGUCGUGCAAGUCGGAUGUGAAAUCUCAGGGCUCAUCCCUGAAACUGCAUUCGAUACUGCGCGGCUAGAGUGCUGGAGGGGAGACUGGAAUUUACGGUGUAGCAGUGAAAUGCGUAGAUAUCGUAAGGAAGACCAGUGGCGAAGGCGAGUCUCUGGACAGCAACUGACGCUGAGGCACGAAGGCCAGGGGAGCAAACGGG